RNAcentral lists this ribosomal RNA (527 nucleotides) under uncultured cyanobacterium. RNAcentral's name for it is "bacterial SSU rRNA". It matches the Rfam family "Bacterial small subunit ribosomal RNA", at positions 527 to 1034 of the family's 1533-position model. Lineage: Bacteria; Bacillati; Cyanobacteriota. The record is from RNAcentral.
GGGAGUGGCAAGCGUUAUCCGGAAUUAUUGGGCGUAAAGCGUCCGCAGGCGGCCCUUCAAGUCUGCUGUUAAAAAGUGGAGCUUAACUCCAUCAUGGCAGUGGAAACUGUUGGGCUUGAGUGUGGUAGGGGCAGAGGGAAUUCCCGGUGUAGCGGUGAAAUGCGUAGAUAUCGGGAAGAACACCAGUGGCGAAGGCGCUCUGCUGGGCCAUCACUGACGCUCAUGGACGAAAGCCAGGGGAGCGAAAGGGAUUAGAUACCCCUGUAGUCCUGGCCGUAAACGAUGAACACUAAGUUGUCGGGGGAAUCGACCCCUCGGUGUCGUAACCAACGCGUUAAUUUUCCCCCUGGGGAAUUACGCACGCAAUUUUGAAAUCCAAAGAUUUGAACNGGGGCCCCNCACAAGCGGUGGAAUUAUNUUNGUUUUUAAUUCCNAAUGCCAACGCCAAAAAACCUUACCAAGGGUUUUGACAUCCCUGCGAAUCUCCUUUGGAAACNAAAAAAAUUNCCUUCCNGGAACCCCAAUUA